This 2530-nucleotide ribosomal RNA is filed under the name Ixodes ricinus (castor bean tick). Its description in RNAcentral is "bacterial LSU rRNA". It matches the Rfam family "Bacterial large subunit ribosomal RNA", at positions 1 to 2313 of the family's 2925-position model. Lineage: Eukaryota; Metazoa; Arthropoda; Arachnida; Ixodida; Ixodidae. The record is from RNAcentral.
AAUAAAUCGCAUCCGUUCGAAUCGGAUAUUCUCUGUAUGUAAAAAGUAAAUAAAUAAAAACAGGUUAGAGCCAGGUUGGUUAGGCGUCUCAUUUGGGUUGAGAAAUUGUUAUGUUCGAAUCAUAAUAACCUGAAUAUAUAGUUUAACUUACUAUAAUAAUAUAAGUGUAUAGGUUGAAUAUGAAAGAUAUUUUGCUUGGUGUAAUUAUUUAUUAUAUCAAGGUAAGUAUAUAAAGAAACUAUUAUGGAUAAUUAGCUAUAUAUUAAAGAUAAUUAGUUAUUACUGAGAUCUAAGAAAAAUCUUAUAAUAAUAAACAAAGUGAAUUGAAAUAUCUUAUUAACUUUAGGAAUAUAAAUCAAACGAGAUUCUAUAAUUAGUGUCAACUAAUGUAGAAAAGCUUACAAGUAAAAUGGAUAUUAUCUGUUUGAAUAAAGGGGAACCUUCCUCUAAAGCUAAAUAUGAUAUAUAAGCAAUAGUGAAAAGUACCGUGAGGUAAUAUUUGAAAUAGUAGUUUUAUAAGCAGCUCGAGUAAAAUUUAAAUAAAUAAUAAGAGUAUACCUUUUGCAUAAUGGGUCAGCAAGUUAAACUUAGAUGCAAGCAAAAAAUAUUUUUGCCUAGAUAAACCAAUUAUGAAUAAAUGAAUUAGUAUCUAAGUUUAGACCCGAAGGCUAGUGAUCUUACCAUGGUCAGGGUUAUAAAAGCCCGAACGGAAUAUCGUUGUAUAGAUAUCCGAGGAACUGUGGUAAGUUAGUGAAAGACAAGACUGACUAGUAUAGCUGGUUUUCCGCGAAACCUAUGUAAGUAGGUAAUUCAAAUAACAUCUUAGCAGGUACAGAACUGUGAUCUCGGGCAUUAUUAAAAGAAAAUUUUUUCUUUUAAAUUUUUGUAUACAUCGGGGGAUCGUGAAGAUUUUAUCGGAGAGUAUUUGCACUCGGAAGGGCAAAGAUGUAUGUUGAAUAAUCGGACAUAGUACGAUAAGGUUGUAUGUCUAAAGGGAAACAGCCCUAAACAAGAGUUUUAUAAGGUUCCAAAAUUAUAGUUGAGUGAAAUUAAGGAUGCUUUUAUCGAAUACAAUCAGGAAAUAGGCUUAGAAGCGGCCAUUUUUUGAAGAUCUCGUAACAGAGCACUGAUUUAUAAACAAUAGUUUAUGUAGAUAUUUUCACCUAAAAUUUAACGGAUCUAAACUAUAUACCGAAACCUUGUGCGUAUAUAUUACUAUAAUUAAAUAUAUUAUAUAUAUGGGGUAGCGGAACAUUGGAUAUAUAUUAGUUUUUUUCUUUUUAAGAAAAAAGAAUUGAAUUAAAAUUUACCUACUUUUUUUUCAUUUAGGAUAAACUAGGAGAAAAAUAAGAGAGGAAAAAAAUUUUAAUUCUUAAUAUAAUCCAAGAGAGAAUGCUGACAUGAGUAACGAAAAAGGAAAAUAUCCUCGCCUUAAGCUUAUGGUAUUUACUUAAUUUUCGGUCUCUAAGUAUAUAACAGAAUAAAUCUCAAUUAUUAGAUAAUAAUUGUAUUAAUACAAUUAUUAAGGUUAUCAUCACUUCUAAUUAAAUAAUUUUUGUUAUUUAUGUUUCAUUUUAUGAUGCUGUUAAAAUAUGAUGAGUAUAUUGUACAAAUAUAAAAAUCUAGCAAAACCUUUAUUUAGUGUUAAAGGUUCUGGAAAUAUUAAGAUUUUUAUAAUAUUCUAUGUAGGUUUUAGAUAUAUUGUGAUUUUUAACUUUAUUGGAUCUUUUUUUUUAUUGGUUUUAGAAUUAUUUGUGUUAUUUAAUUACUUUUUUGUUUUUAAAUAACAAUUUUUUUCUUGCGAUUAAAAGACACAUAGUGGUAAUAUGUCUAAUAUAUAUAGAAUAUGAAUUUUUUAUAUUUUUUGUAUAAUCACCGUACCUAAAUACUAUCGCAAGUAAGCAAGUAGAGUAUACAAAGGCGUUUGAGUGAACAAUCAUUAAGGAACUCGGCAAAUUAACUACCGUAACUUCGGGAUAAGGAGAACCAUUAUAUUAGGUUAAAAAUAAUAAUAUAUUAUUUUUAUAGCCUAACUAUAAUAGGAAGCAUAGAAUAGUGUUGUACGACUGUUUAAUUAAAACAAAGCACUCUGCAAAGAUAAAAUAUCAAAGUAUUGAGUGUGAUGUCUGCCCGAUGUCGGCUGGAUAACUGAUUUGCUUAAUUGAUAAGAUUAGGUUUUGAAGGACACCCCGAUUAAUGGCGGCCUUAUCUAUGAGGGUCCUAAGGUAGCGAAAUGCCUUGGCCGUUAAAUGCGGUCUUGCAUGAAUGGUUUAACGAUACAACAGCUGUCUCGAUGAUUGACUCAGUGAAAUUGGAAUAGCUGUGCAGAUACAGUUUACCUCUAGUUAGACGAGAAGACCCUAUGCAGCUUUACUGUUACUAAUUAAGGGUAUAAUAUUUUAUUUACCAGUGUAUAAGGUAAUUGAAAGAUAGAAUUGAAACACCUUUGUUUAUUAUAUUAUACUAUUGUUGAUUAGAAGGCAGUUUAUGCGGGGCACAGAUCCCACAAAAAGUACCUGGGUAUAUCCAA